UGGGGAAUUUUGGACAAUGGGCGAAAGCCUGAUCCAGCAAUGCCGCGUGUGUGAAGAAGGCCUUCGGGUUGUAAAGCACUUUUGUCCGGAAAGAAAUCCUCUGGGUUAAUACCUCGGGGGGAUGACGGUACCGGAAGAAUAAGCACCGGCUAACUACGUGCCAGCAGCCGCGGUAAUACGUAGGGUGCAAGCGUUAAUCGGAAUUACUGGGCGUAAAGCGUGCGCAGGCGGUUUUGUAAGACGGAUGUGAAAUCCCCGGGCUUAACCUGUGAACUGCAUUUGUGACUGCAAGGCUAGAGUAUGGCAGAGGGGGGUAGAAUUCCACGUGUAGCAGUGAAAUGCGUAGAGAUGUGGAGGAAUACCGAUGGCGAAGGCAGCCCCCUGGGCCAAUACUGACGCUCAUGCACGAAAGCGUGGGGAGCAAACA
This 427-nucleotide ribosomal RNA is filed under the name uncultured bacterium. RNAcentral's name for it is "bacterial SSU rRNA". It matches the Rfam family "Bacterial small subunit ribosomal RNA", at positions 355 to 774 of the family's 1533-position model. The record is from RNAcentral.